RNAcentral lists this ribosomal RNA (1444 nucleotides) under uncultured bacterium. RNAcentral describes it as "partial 16S ribosomal RNA". It matches the Rfam family "Bacterial small subunit ribosomal RNA". The record is from RNAcentral.
GAUGAACGCUGGCUGUGUGCCUAAUACAUGCAUGUCGAGCGAGGUUCUUUUGAACCUAGCGGCGAAUGGGUGAGUAACACGUACUUAAUCUACCCUUUAGAUUGGAAUACCCAAUGGAAACAUUGGCUAAUGCCGGAUACGCAUGAAAUCGCAUGAUUUCAAUGUGAAAGGAGCCCUUAAAGCUCCACUAAAGGAUGAGGGUGCGGAACAUUAGUUAGUUGGUAGGGUAAUGGCCUACCAAGACUAUGAUGUUUAGCCGGGUCGAGAGACUGAACGGCCACAUUGGGACUGAGAUACGGCCCAAACUCCUACGGGAGGCAGCAGUAGGGAAUAUUCCACAAUGAGCGAAAGCUUGAUGGAGCGACACAGCGUGCACGAUGAAGGUCUUCGGAUUGUAAAGUGCUGUUAUAGGGAAAGAACACUUGGUUGAGGAAAUGCUUCCAAGCUGACGGUACCCUGUCAGAAAGCGAUGGCUAACUAUGUGCCAGCAGCCGCGGUAAUACAUAGGUCGCAAGCGUUAUCCGGAAUUAUUGGGCGUAAAGCGUUCGUAGGCUGUUUAUUAAGUCUGGAGUCGAAUACCAGGGCUCAACCCUGGCUCGCUUUGGAUACUGGUAAACUAGAGUUAGAUAGAGGUAAGCGGAAUUCCAUGUGAAGCGGUGAAAUGCGUAGAUAUAUGGAAGAACACCAAAGGCGAAGGCAGCUUACUGGGUCUAUACUGACGCUGAGGGACGAAAGCGUGGGGAGCAAACAGGAUUAGAUACCCUGGUAGUCCACGCCGUAAACGAUGAUCAUUAGUCGGUGGAGAAUUCACUGACGCAGCUAACGCAUUAAAUGAUCCGCCUGAGUAGUAUGCUCGCAAGAGUGAAACUUAAAGGAAUUGACGGGGACCCGCACAAGCGGUGGAGCAUGUGGUUUAAUUUGAAGAUACGCGGAGAACCUUACCCACUCUUGACAUCCUUCGCAAUGCUAUAGAGAUAUAGCGGAGGUUAACGGAGUGACAGAUGGUGCAUGGUUGUCGUCAGCUCGUGUCGUGAGAUGUUUGGUCAAGUCCUGCAACGAGCGCAACCCCUAUCUUUAGUUACUAACGAGUCAUGUCGAGGACUCUAGAGGUACUGCCUGGGUAACUGGGAGGAAGGUGGGGAUGACGUCAAAUCAUCAUGCCUCUUACGAGUGGGGCAACACACGUGCUACAAUGGUCGGUACAAAGAGAAGCAAUAUGGCGACAUGGAGCAAAUCUCAAAAAGCCGAUCUCAGUUCGGAUUGGAGUCUGCAAUUCGACUCCAUGAAGUCGGAAUCGCUAGUAAUCGCAGAUCAGCUACGCUGCGGUGAAUACGUUCUCGGGUCUUGUACACACCGCCCGUCACACCAUGGGAGCUGGUAAUACCCAAAGUCGGUUAGCUAACCUCGGAGGCGACCGCCUAAGGUAGGACUGGUGACUGGGGUG